UACAGAGGGUGCAAGCGUUAAUCGGAAUUACUGGGCGUAAAGCGCAUGUAGGUUGUUAUAUAAGUUUGAUGUGAAAGCCCUGGGCUUAACCUGGGAAUUGCGUUGAAUACUGUAUGACUAGAAUCGGAUAGAGGGUAGUGGAAUUUCAGGUGUAGCGGUGAAAUGCGUAGAUAUCUGAAAGAACACCAGUGGCGAAGGCGGCUACCUGGAUCCAGAUUGACACUGAGAUGCGAAAGCGUGGGGAGCAAACAGG
This 253-nucleotide ribosomal RNA is filed under the name uncultured bacterium. Its description in RNAcentral is "partial 16S ribosomal RNA". It matches the Rfam family "Bacterial small subunit ribosomal RNA", at positions 524 to 776 of the family's 1533-position model. The record is from RNAcentral.